Molecule: non-coding RNA, 689 nt
Organism: Salvia hispanica
Lineage: Eukaryota; Viridiplantae; Streptophyta; Magnoliopsida; Lamiales; Lamiaceae
Source: RefSeq, a predicted model, not a curated record
CAUUGUUUUCUCAUGAGAAAUAUUUAAAGUACUAAUUAGCGUGCUACGCUAUUUAUUUUCAAAGGAUAUUUUGCUCGAGGGCAAAGUGAGGCCAACACGAGAGUUGUUAUUUGGAGAUAAGCGUAUCAGGACCGCAAAUCCUGUUCGGAAUAAUGUGCACGAGAGCCGUGAGCCAUCAGCUGUUGGCCGGCGAUGUGUCCGCUGAAGGUGGCCACCUUCACGGUACACGAUUCUCAGAUUUGGCGAGUGAUUUGGAGAACUUAGAUUGAUCAAUCGAACUUUUAGCUCACAAAAGAAUUUAGUAUGCUCGGGCCUUUUAAGAAAAACCCCCGUGUGAUACUGUGGAUGGAUGACAACUAUAUACUGUAUGUUUUGUUUUCGGCAUGUGUCCACUGAGUACUCCUGUACUCAGCCCUGCAUGUAUUUAUAAACGUGCAGAUUUAAGCAAAAGGGCGGAGGCGUGCUGAUCAGAGUCGAUGCUACUUAAGAAAAUAAGUGUGGAUCUCUCGACGCUUCGUGUCUUCAUACGCGAAGUCGUUCUCUGGACUUUUUCCGCUGCAGUUUGUUAAGAGAGAAUAGUAAACUCUCAACAUCGUAACUCUGAUUCAUUUUGAUGAAAUGCUAUUGUCAUUUAAAUCCUUGUAUUUGAAUACUUGGAUCCUAUCUUAUGAUAUUGUUUGACUUUUCAA